CAGAUACAGCCGUUCUAAUGACAAGACAAAACGCAGAUCUUGUCAACCCAGAGAGGGGUUGGAUCGUGUGUGUGUGUGGUCGGUCGGUGGCCCGGUGACGUGGCUCGGUGAGUGAAUUACGUGCAUUUUCCCCGUGAGCCCCGGAUCUACAGCACAUUCACGGAAUAAAAACGAUCCGUCUGAACAGAAUGUCCAGCAGAGACGCACUGAAGACAGAUGAAGGUCUGAUGAUGAUGCAGGAGCUGGAGGACCGACUCAAGGAACACACGGAUAAACUGGAGCAUGUGCGUCUGUCUGCCGUGGACCUGAGAAAUGCUCUAUCAGGGAAUAAUGACGGUAUGCAGCAGUGUAUGUCUGAACACAUGGAGUGGCUCGCACAGAUGACCGAUCGCGUGGAGACGCUACAGAUGAACACCACUGUCUUUGUGCAGAUGAGUGCCAAGCCACGCAGCUUUCGGGUCAAACAGCAGGGGCUCAGAAGCACUGGCCGCUGGGGCCGCUGUCAUGUGACCGAUGACGCCCAAUCAGAGUAUGGCUGGUCUCCCGUCCGCACCAGACGCAACAGUGACGCAGCGUCUGAGAUGUCGUGUGCGUGGUAGAAACGCUAAGCUACACUCACAUCGAGAUCGUGUGAUUGUUGCUCUUCAUUUACUGUCAGCGUAACAUUUCCUUUUCCAAAAGUGACCACUGUAAAGGUAGCAUGCUGUUUUUGUGUUUCAUACAGUUUACAGUGUAAUUAAA
Molecule: long non-coding RNA, 741 nt
Filed under: Sinocyclocheilus anshuiensis
Lineage: Eukaryota; Metazoa; Chordata; Actinopteri; Cypriniformes; Cyprinidae
Description: lncRNA (ENSSANG00000040821.1)
Source: RNAcentral